Molecule: long non-coding RNA, 402 nt
Filed under: Homo sapiens (human)
Lineage: Eukaryota; Metazoa; Chordata; Mammalia; Primates; Hominidae
Description: HSALNT0298505
Source: RNAcentral
CCACAAUUUCUUAAUCCAGUCUGAGAUAGAAUACUUUCAGUAGUGCUUUGAGUUUGUUUUUCAAGUAAACCUCUUCCCAUGCCAUGCGUCCUAUUGUAAUGAUUGCUAAUGAUUCUAACAUUGCUGUAACCAUAUUUUACCAUAAUUAACAUUGUAGAUAUUUGCCUGCCCAAUUAGCUGGAGGCUCCUUGAUGGCAGAGACUGCCUCCUUGGUAUCCCCAGCACACAGCACAGAACCUGGCACAUACCUUCAGCCUUGGGAACUUCUGUGUGUUUAUUGCACAUUCAUGAAGGUUACAGUAAAUAAUACUCAACAACCCCGAGAGCACAUCACAGUAUGGAGAAAACAUAAGAUCAAAGAAGCAUGCAACACUGAGCUAUCACACGGAGAACACCUGUCUG